RNAcentral lists this signal recognition particle RNA (312 nucleotides) under Leersia perrieri. RNAcentral describes it as "Plant signal recognition particle RNA". It matches the Rfam family "Plant signal recognition particle RNA". The record is from Rfam by way of RNAcentral. Lineage: Eukaryota; Viridiplantae; Streptophyta; Magnoliopsida; Poales; Poaceae.
GCCGAGCCAACUAGCGAUGGCUUGUAACCCGAGCGGGGGCAUUAAGGUGGUGUGGAUGCCUGGUCGUUGCGCUAGGUCCUGGGCCUGUGGUCUGCAUUAUACGGCCCGCCCGUUUCCAAGUUGCGUAGCUGUGCUUGGGCUCUUGGGCGAAAGCUCCUGGGGGUCCCUGCGCCUAGAGUGGCGGGCACUGCGUGAGGCUGGUUUCACAGAGCAGCGAGUACCGCCCGCUUCCAACGGUGGGAGGAUAACGGGCCGCUGCAGCCUAGGUCCCUCUUCCGGCCCAAGCGCCUUCUAUGGCAGACCACCAUCUUU